This 471-nucleotide long non-coding RNA is filed under the name Salvia miltiorrhiza (redroot sage). RNAcentral describes it as "long non-coding RNA (SMIL_LNC004135)". The record is from RNAcentral. Lineage: Eukaryota; Viridiplantae; Streptophyta; Magnoliopsida; Lamiales; Lamiaceae.
AUUCGGAAAAGGUUUCCUCCCGAAACCUGACAGAAGAAGGUUCCGGUCUGAUGAACAUGACGAGCGUCAGACACCAAAGGGAAGAACACCUCGGGCACCAAAAAAGUAAGGUGGCCGACAAAACUUGGUGAAUCAUGUGAUUCACAGCAAGGAUCGCACCCACAAAAGAAACGACAAAAGUGGGUGGAAGAACAGGAAGACCACUCACCAAAAGCUUCAGGACAAAAGUGAGUGGAAGGAAAAGUAGCCGGCCCCUACCAGCAUUAUCACAAGAAGAUAAAAGCCGGGGUCCAGCACCAUGUGAUGCCACUAACAAGUGUCGGCAAUCAAGGCCGACAAAAGAAGGUGGAUGUCAUAUUCAAGCAAGCUGGCCACGAGGAUGGAAUCCAAGGCCAACCACCGAGCAAUAAUAGAGGGGUUCAAACCUCUAUAUAAACACAAGUGCUGGAGAGAAGAGAUCAUCGAAAAUUC